This 253-nucleotide ribosomal RNA is filed under the name uncultured bacterium. RNAcentral's name for it is "partial 16S ribosomal RNA". It matches the Rfam family "Bacterial small subunit ribosomal RNA", at positions 524 to 776 of the family's 1533-position model. The record is from RNAcentral.
GACAGAGGGUGCGAGCGUUGUUCGGAAUUACUGGGCGUAAAGCGUGCGCAGGCGGCUUUGCAAGACAGAUGUGAAAUCCCCGGGCUUAACCUGGGAACUGCAUUUGUGACUGCAUGGCUGGAGUGCGGCAGAGGGGGAUGGAAUUCCGCGUGUAGCAGUGAAAUGCGUAGAUAUGCGGAGGAACACCGAUGGCGAAGGCAAUCCCCUGGGCCUGCACUGACGCUCAUGCACGAAAGCGUGGGGAGCAAACAGG